GAUGAACGCUGGCGGCGUGCCUAAUACAUGCAAGUCGAGCGAACAGAUGAGGAGCUUGCUCCUCUGACGUUAGCGGCGGACGGGUGAGUAACACGUGGAUAACCUACCUAUAAGACUGGGAUAACUUCGGGAAACCGGAGCUAAUACCGGAUAAUAUAUUGAACCGCAUGGUUCAAUAGUGAAAGACGGUUUUGCUGUCACUUCUAGAUGGAUCCGCGCCGCAUUAGCUAGUUGGUAAGGUAACGGCAUACCAAGGCAACGAUGCGUAGCCGACCGGCGAGGCUGAUCGGCCACACUGGAACUGGGCCACGGUCCAGGCUACUACGGGAGGCAGCAGUAGGGAAUCUUCCGCAAUGGGCGAAAGCCUGACGGAGCAACGCCGCGUGAGUGAUGAAGAUCUUCGGAUCGUAAAACUCUGUUAUUAGGGAAAAACAAAUGUGUAAGUAACUAUGCACGUCUUGACGGUACCUGAUCAGAAAGCCACGGCUAACUACGUG
RNAcentral lists this ribosomal RNA (497 nucleotides) under uncultured bacterium. RNAcentral describes it as "partial 16S ribosomal RNA". It matches the Rfam family "Bacterial small subunit ribosomal RNA", at positions 28 to 507 of the family's 1533-position model. The record is from RNAcentral.